CCUACGGGAGGCAGCAGUGAGGAAUAUUGGUCAAUGGGCGCAAGCCUGAUCCAGCCAAGUAGCGUGAAGGAUGACUGCCCUACGGGUUGUAAACUUCUUUUAUAAAGGAAUAAAGUGAGGCACGUGUGCCUUUUUGUAUGUACUUUAUGAUUAAGGAUCGGCUAACUCCGUGCCAGCAGCCGCGGUAAUACGUAGGAUCCGAGCGUUAUCGGGAUUUAUUGGGUUUAAAGGGUGCGUAGAUGGGUUGUUAAGUCAGUUGUGAAAGUUUGUGGCUCAACCGUAAAAUUGCAAUUGAUACUGGGCGCCUUGAGUACAGUGGAGGUAGGCGGAAUUCGUGGUGUAGCGGUGAAAUGCUUAGAUAUCACGAAGAACUCCGAUUGCGAAGGCAGCCUACUAAACUGCCACUGACAUUGAUGCUCGAAAGUGUGGGUAUCAAACAGGAUUAGAUACCCCAGUAGUC
This 460-nucleotide ribosomal RNA is filed under the name uncultured bacterium. Its description in RNAcentral is "partial 16S ribosomal RNA". It matches the Rfam family "Bacterial small subunit ribosomal RNA", at positions 338 to 795 of the family's 1533-position model. The record is from RNAcentral.